AAUCCGAGAAUUUCACCUCUGACGCCGGAAUACAAAUGCCCCCAACCGUCCCUCUUAAUCAUUACCCGGUCCUCACAAACCAAUAAAACAGAACACAGGUCCUAUUCUAUUAUUCCAUGCUAAGGUAUUCAUGGCAAACGCCCGCUUUGAACACUCUAAUUUUUUCACAGUAAACGGUGGCAGCGACAACGAGCCCGCACUCAAGCGGAUCCGUGCCCCCCUCCACAAAGGCGGCCGACCCAGGUCCGUCCGCGAAGACGCCCCGUCUCGCCCGCCAACCUCCGACUACGAGCGUUUUAACUGCAACAACUUGGGUAUACGCUUACAGAGCUGGAAUUACCGCU
This 344-nucleotide unclassified non-coding RNA is filed under the name uncultured bacterium. RNAcentral describes it as "contains 16S-23S intergenic spacer region". The record is from RNAcentral.